UAAGAUAGGAUGGAUUUUAAAUAAAGUAAUC
Molecule: non-coding RNA, 31 nt
Filed under: Mus musculus (house mouse)
Lineage: Eukaryota; Metazoa; Chordata; Mammalia; Rodentia; Muridae
Source: RNAcentral